Molecule: ribosomal RNA, 384 nt
Filed under: uncultured bacterium
Lineage: Bacteria
Description: bacterial SSU rRNA
Rfam family: Bacterial small subunit ribosomal RNA
Source: RNAcentral
AUUGAACGCUGGCGGCAUGCUUUACACAUGCAAGUCGAACGGCAGCGCGGGGGCAACCCUGGCGGCGAGUGGCGAACGGGUGAGUAAUGCAUCGGAACGUAUCCUGUAAUGGGGGAUAACGUAGCGAAAGUUACGCUAAUACCGCAUACGCUCGAGAGAGGAAAGUGGGGGAUCGCAAGACCUCACGUUAUAGGAGCGGCCGAUGUCCGAUUAGCUAGUUGGUGGGGUAAAGGCCUACCAAGGCGACGAUCGGUAGCUGGUCUGAGAGGAUGAUCAGCCACACUGGGACUGAGACACGGCCCAGACUCCUACGGGAGGCAGCAGUGGGGAAUUUUGGACAAUGGGCGAAAGCCUGAUCCAGCCAUGCCGCGUGGAGGACGAAGG